GCUAGAUUGAGGGAGUGGCGAACGGGUGAGUAAUACAUAAGCAACCUGCCUACAAGGACUGGGAUAAUCUUUGGAAACGAGGACUAAUACCGGAUAGGUAAUAAUGAGGCAUCUCAAUAUUAUUAAAGGUGAGAAACACAAGUAGAUGGGCUUAUGGUGCAUUAGUUAGUUGGUGAGGUAACGGCCCACCAAGACGAUGAUGCAUAGCCGGCCUGAGAGGGUGAACGGCCACAUUGGGACUGAGACACGGCCCAAACUCCUACGGGAGGCAGCAGUAGGGAAUUUUCGGCAAUGGGGGAAACCCUGACCGAGCAACGCCGCGUGAGUGAAGAAGGUCUUCGGAUUGUAAAGCUCUGUUGUAAGGGAAGAAUGACCGGGAUAGGAUCUCGGAGUGACGGUACCUUACCAGAAAGCCACGGCUAACUACGUGCCAGCAGCCGCGGUAAUACGUAGGUGGCGAGCGUUAUCCGGAAUUAUUGGGCGUAAAGGGUGCGUAGGCGGUCUGUUAAGUUUGUGGUUAAAGCGUGGGGCUCAACCCCAUAAAGCCACAGAUACUGGCAGACUAGAGUACUGGAGAGGGAAGUGGAAUUCCAUGUGUAGCGGUAAAAUGCGUAGAUAUAUGGAGGAACACC
Molecule: ribosomal RNA, 632 nt
Filed under: uncultured bacterium
Lineage: Bacteria
Description: partial 16S ribosomal RNA
Rfam family: Bacterial small subunit ribosomal RNA
Source: RNAcentral